AUUGAACGCUGGCGGCAUGCUUUACACAUGCAAGUCGAACGGCAGCGCGGGGCAACCUGGCGGCGAGUGGCGAACGGGUGAGUAAUAUAUCGGAACGUACCCAGAAGUGGGGGAUAACGUAGCGAAAGUUACGCUAAUACCGCAUACGAUCUACGGAUGAAAGUGGGGGACCUUCGGGCCUCAUGCGUUUGGAGCGGCAGAUAUCUGAUUAGCUAGUUGGUGAGGUAAAGGCUCACCAAGGCGACGAUCAGUAGCUGGUCUGAGAGGACGACCAGCCACACUGGACUGAGACACGGCCCAGACUCCUACGGGAGGCAGCAGUGGGGAAUUUUGGACAAUGGGCGCAAGCCUGAUCCAGCAAUGCCGCGUGAGUGAAGAAGGCCUUCGGGUUGUAAAGCUCUUUUGUCAGGGAAGAAACGGCCGAGGAUAAUACCUUCGGCUAAUGACGGUACCUGAAGAAUAAGCACCGGCUAACUACGUGCCAGCCGCCGCCGUAA
This 497-nucleotide ribosomal RNA is filed under the name uncultured bacterium. RNAcentral describes it as "partial 16S ribosomal RNA". It matches the Rfam family "Bacterial small subunit ribosomal RNA", at positions 30 to 523 of the family's 1533-position model. The record is from RNAcentral.